This is a long non-coding RNA of Etheostoma cragini (Arkansas darter), 487 nucleotides long. RefSeq lists it as uncharacterized. The record is from RefSeq and is a predicted model, not a curated record. NCBI's taxonomy places the organism in Eukaryota, Metazoa, Chordata, Actinopteri, Perciformes, Percidae. The transcript is spliced from 3 exons.
UGUUGCCUUCCACUGAAUAAUUCCACUCUCAUGUUUGACUAAAAAUCUAAAACCCGUUACAUUCUGCAAAGGAUAGGAGCUACACAAUGAUGGAUGUGCAAACCACCGACACCGCGACAUACAGCUGGUGCAGAGCAACGAGGUGAGGGGAAGCCAAUACAUGGAGGAGGAGGGUCUUAUAAGAAGCUUGGACCUCCAGCAGGGAAGUGGUGUGAAGGUGGACUAGAUUAUCACUGAUCGUCACCCUCAGGUCCAAAAGUUCCUGAGAGAACGUAAAAUCCCCCACUACUAUGACGUAUGGCAUGGAGCAAAAGGGUGGUCAAAGAAGCUGGAACAACUUGGCAAAGACGAGGACUGUGCUUCGGUGAAAAAGUGGCAAAAAAGCAGAGUCAACCACCUGUGCUGCUGUGCCACAAGCUCCGUCUCCGGAACUGAGAAGGUAGCGAAAUGGAAGUCUUUGGUGAACCACAUUCAAGAUGUCCACAGU